This 721-nucleotide ribosomal RNA is filed under the name Mortierella alpina. RNAcentral's name for it is "eukaryotic LSU rRNA". It matches the Rfam family "Eukaryotic large subunit ribosomal RNA", at positions 38 to 606 of the family's 3401-position model. Lineage: Eukaryota; Fungi; Mortierellomycota; Mortierellomycetes; Mortierellales; Mortierellaceae. The record is from RNAcentral.
GCAUAUCAAUAAGCGGAGGAAAAGAAACUAACAAGGAUUCCCCUAGUAACGGCGAGUGAAGCGGGAUGAGCUCAAAUUUAAAAUCUGGCUGGUUUACUAGUCCGAAUUGUAGUUUAAAGAAGCGUUUUCGGUGGCAGCCUGGGUAUAAAUCCUUUGGAACAGGGUAUCAUAGAGGGUGAGAAUCCCGUCUUUGACUCAGUGCAUGCUACUAUGUGAUACGUUUUCAAAGAGUCGAGUUGUUUGGGAAUGCAGCUCAAAAUGGGUGGUAAAUUUCAUCUAAGGCUAAAUAUUGGCGAGAGACCGAUAGCGAACAAGUACCGUGAGGGAAAGAUGAAAAGAACUUUGAAAAGAGAGUUAAACAGUGCGUGAAAUUGUUGAAAGGGAAACGCUUGACACCAGUCAUGCGAGCGGAAAAUCAGUCUUUUGCAGUGGGGAGUUGUGUGGGUUCGGACCGCAAGGCCGGCCUGUGCUGCAUCUCUGCUGUAAGUGAUGCACUUUUUCGUUUGCAGGCCAACAUCAGUUUCUUCUGCUGGACAAAACUCUUGAGAAGGUAGCAGCUUGGGCUGUGUUAUAGCUCUUGAGCGAUACAGUGGAGGGGACUGAGGUUUUCGCAGCGCGUGCUCUCGGGCAAGGCUGAUUGGGUGCUAUGGGAUCGUUCGGUGUACAAUGCAUGCAUUUGCGCCGUGUCUUUUCUAUACUCGCUCAACUCGGCUCUCCGCGC